Long non-coding RNA from Drosophila montana, 1469 nucleotides. RefSeq lists it as uncharacterized. The record is from RefSeq and is a predicted model, not a curated record. Lineage: Eukaryota; Metazoa; Arthropoda; Insecta; Diptera; Drosophilidae. The transcript is spliced from 5 exons.
AGACGCGAUCGCUGCUCAGACUCAAAGGGAUCCUCUUCAAAAUUACCUGUGGACGAGGGCGUGUUCUUGCAGCCGAACCACCAGUGUGCCGUCGGCCUGGGGAAUGGCGGCGUGGCCGUAUCCACCUGUUAGGGAGAACACAUUUUGGCACAAGUGUGGCAACCUUUUUCGCGCAGUGCAUUCUGUGACAUCAGCAGACGUGCGAUAAGGGAUAUCAAGUAUACGACAAGUGGCGCGCAGUUUUCAACGCCAGAGGGUAGCUGUCCGUCUAGCAGCGCUGUGACUUACUAAACUGGGCUGCGGUUACUUUAGUGUCUUCCCUGGAGGCGCUGUAAACAAACAAGAAAAACAAACAAACAAUCAGAAUCAAGUGCGACAGGCACUUAACUCUUAACUGGCUCCAUUGUCCAUUUGGAAGAGCGUUGCGUGGGCGAGCCACUGCGCCAAGGGUGUUCCCGCUUCCGCCUGUGCCACACCCACCUCGCAACUACUUGAAACUUGUGUGUUUGUAUGUGUGAAAACCGCUUGAUUAAAUGCACGUUGAUUGUCACUGGACGCCGGAUCCGGAUCCGCGGGAGCGUGCCGGAUCGGGGAUCAGUAACCGAAGAAGUUAAAGCCGCAGAGCAGCUUGUCGGGUCGCCGUAUGCGCAGGAUGCCGAACUGGAAGACGGACAUAUCGUCGGCCACAUUCAUGUCCAGCGCCAUCAGCUUCUCGGCGGCCAGCGGAUGCCAAGAGCCAAAUGUGCAGGCGGAGUUCAUCUGGAAAUGGAAUUUAAUUUAGUUUAUAAUGAAUCGAGCUAGGCUGCAACCUGGCCACCUCUUUGCUGUAGUAGUGACAGCGUCCGUUGAGUCGUGUGGAGGGCACAUAUUCCACAAAGUCCACCUGGGGACAGUGGGGCAACAACAAGGCCAGGCCUGUAAACAUUCACAGAACUCGAUUAAAUAUGGAUGAAUCAAGCAAAACAAGCAAGAAGUUAGGCAACAAGAAGUCGAAGCAAACCAAUUAGGAUUGUCCUGCAACUGUUGGAUAUAUACCAAUUGGAAUCUCAUUAAUAUUGAUCACUUAUCAAACUAGGAAAAAAAAAUCAAUUAAUUAGAUGGAGAAUUUAAAUGAUUCGCCCUCUCAUGAAUUGUAAAAACAGUUUCAAAACAGGUCACAAAAUGUCACGUUGCAUUGGAAAAAGACUCAAGAGUGCCCAAUGUCGGGGACGUCAGAAAUAUACAGGAUGCAAACUACAUAAUGCGACUGGGAAACCAUCCAAAUCGUCUGGCUCGGCCUUUUAAAGAGGCGUAGAUGGAGGAGACCGAAUGCGGAGGAGAUUGCGGAGGUUUCACCCAAUCGAUCUCUCAGAUCGGUGUAAAAUCACCCUACCCUUGUACAUUUUUAUGUUAGACUUAAAAGUAGAAUAAGUUGUAUUGUAAAUAUUCACAUAAGUUUAAUUAAAGUUGUUCCCAUAAUAACAGAAAAA